Molecule: unclassified non-coding RNA, 246 nt
Filed under: plant metagenome
Description: partial contains small subunit ribosomal RNA, internal transcribed spacer 1, and 5.8S ribosomal RNA
Rfam family: Eukaryotic small subunit ribosomal RNA (bases 1-54)
Source: RNAcentral
GGAAGUAAAAAUCGUAACAAGGUCUCCGUUGGUGAACCAGCGGAGGGAUCAUUACAGGACUCGCAAGACUCCUUCACCCUGUGAACCUCACUACAAGCACGUUGCUUCGGCGGGUGUCCCGGCGGGGGUUUUCCCUCGCCGGGGCGCACAGCCCGCCGGCAGCCUACUAUACUCUGUCUCUUUGCGUUGGCAUCUCGAGAAAAAACAAACAAGUUAAAACUUUCAACAACGGAUCUCUUGGUUCUG